UACGUAGGGUGCAAGCGUUAAUCGGAAUUACUGGGCGUAAAGCGUGCGCAGGCGGUGAUGUAAGACAGAUGUGAAAUCCCCGGGCUCAACCUGGGAACUGCAUUUGUGACUGCAUCGCUGGAGUGCGGCAGCGGGGGAUGGAAUUCCGCGUGUAGCAGUGAAAUGCGUAGAUAUGUGGAGGAACACCAAUGGCGAAGGCAGCCUCCUGGGCCGGCACUGACGCUCAUGCACGAAAGCGUGGGGAGCAAACAGGAUUAGAAACCCGGUAGU
Molecule: ribosomal RNA, 270 nt
Filed under: uncultured bacterium
Lineage: Bacteria
Description: partial 16S ribosomal RNA
Rfam family: Bacterial small subunit ribosomal RNA
Source: RNAcentral